RNAcentral lists this ribosomal RNA (396 nucleotides) under uncultured bacterium. RNAcentral describes it as "partial 16S ribosomal RNA". It matches the Rfam family "Bacterial small subunit ribosomal RNA", at positions 523 to 918 of the family's 1533-position model. The record is from RNAcentral.
AUACGUAGGGAGCGAGCGUUGUCCGGAAUUACUGGGUGUAAAGGGAGCGUAGGCGGGAGUGCAAGUCAGAUGUGAAAUACAUGGGCUCAACCCAUGGGCUGCAUUUGAAACUGCAUUUCUUGAGUGAAGUAGAGGUAAGCGGAAUUCCUGGUGUAGCGGUGAAAUGCGUAGAUAUCAGGAGGAACACCGGUGGCGAAGGCGGCUUACUGGGCUUUUACUGACGCUGAGGCUCGAAAGCGUGGGGAGCAAACAGGAUUAGAUGCCCUGGUAGUCCACGCUGUAAACGAUGAUUACUAGGUGUGGGGGGACUGACCCCUUCCGUGCCGCAGUUAACACAAUAAGUAAUCCACCUGGGGAGUACGGCCGCAAGGUUGAAACUCAAAGGAAUUGACGGGG